ACGCCCGCUCAAGAACUACAAAGGAAUUGACGGGGGCCCGCACAAGCGGUGGAGUAUGUGGUUUAAUUCGAUGCAACGCGAAGAACCUUACCUGGUCUUGACAUCCCGGAGACCCUUAGGAAACUAGGGGGUGCUUCCAUCUGGAAGAAUCUGGAGACAGGUGCUGCAUGGCUGUCGUCAGCUCGUGUCGUGAGAUGUUGGGUUAAGUCCCGCAACGAGCGCAACCCUUGCCUUUAGUUGCCAGCAGUUCGGCUGGGCACUCUAAAGGGACUGCCGGUGUUAAACCGGAGGAAGGUGGGGAUGACGUCAAGUCCUCAUGGCCUUUAUGACCAGGGCUACACACGUACUACAAUGGCCGAUACAAAGGGCAGCGACACUGCGAGGUGAAGCCAAUCCCGUAAAAUCGGUCUCAGUCCGGAUUGGAGUCUGCAACUCGACUCCAUGAAGUUGGAAUCGCUAGUAACCGCAGAUCAGCUACGUUGCGGUGAAUACGUUCCCGGGCCUU
Molecule: ribosomal RNA, 505 nt
Filed under: uncultured Desulfobulbus sp.
Lineage: Bacteria; Pseudomonadati; Thermodesulfobacteriota; Desulfobulbia; Desulfobulbales; Desulfobulbaceae
Description: bacterial SSU rRNA
Rfam family: Bacterial small subunit ribosomal RNA
Source: RNAcentral